This is a non-coding RNA of Arachis ipaensis, 118 nucleotides long. NCBI's taxonomy places the organism in Eukaryota, Viridiplantae, Streptophyta, Magnoliopsida, Fabales, Fabaceae. The record is from RefSeq and is a predicted model, not a curated record.
AUAUCUGACCUUAAAAGAAGUUUUUGAGAGUUUGGACUAGACUGGGUAAAAUCUUAUUCCUAAAGCAGGAUAAUCUCAUUCAAGGUAUAGAGAGGGAAAUUGGAGCAUUACAAUUGGA